GUCUCUGUGCAUUAAUUGGGACCCUAACUCAGCGGGCAGAACUCAGGUGGCUGGCAGAGACCGCCCACGUGGCAGUAGGGCUCGGACCACUUUUGGUGGUAAUAUUUAUCAUAACACUGCCUCAUCUUCUAAGUUUUUAGCUUUUUCAAACAACAUUGCUCUUUCAUUCAGCUGUGCCCACUUUAAUGCUAGCAGGAACAGGACAAUGCAUCAUAGUAAUUCAUAACUAAAUCAAGGAAGAGAUAGUUUUUAAUGCUACAGACUGCCAAUCAAACAGGACCUUCAGGGAUAUUCUAGAUUGAUUAUAGUGUCUCCUUCCAGAACCAUAGAGAAUGACAUGGUUCAUCUUCCCAAAGGAAACUUUUGAAAUAUUUGAGAACACAGACAUCAAGUCCUUCCACAUCUGAGUAAGAGUUGACUUUUCCCCAGCCAUUUUCUAUAUGGCUUAAACUUCUUCCUCUUUCAUGUCAUUUAUCAAAUGAGUCACAGUUGGUCAAGGUCUUUCUUACAGCAUAGAAAUACACCACUGUCUUUAUCUGUACCUACACUUCAGUUGCCACCUCAAACUAUUGAUUUUAAAACACAUACAGACAGACAGAGAGACAGACAGAUACACAUACACACACACACACACACACACACACACACACACACACACACACACACAGAGAGAGAGAGAGAGAGAGAGAGAGAGAGAGAGAGAGAGAGAGAGAGAGAGAAAAGGAAACUCACACUUUCCAACCUCUGUCUUAUGCAAUGGACUGACUCCUGUGGAGGUUGGUGUCAUUUACAAAGCUUAUGCUUCCUUAAAUACAUACAUGCUUAUUUUUGGUUGUGUGGUGUUGGGGAUUGAAUCUCUGUGAUCGUCCCAGUGGCCGCACACAAGCUAAGCACAUGUUAUCCCACUGUGUGUAUCCGAAGCCCCAUAUGUUCAUGCUCAAACCAUCCCUCCUUUGUUGUGCAUUUGCACAGCUGGUCUGUGCAACAUAAGUGAGAUGAUUUCUAUUUAUCCCUGUGGAAAUGCACCUUGUUUGUAAACCUAACAUUGCAGCUACUUUGGAUGAUCCAGAUCCAGCAUUCCAAUCAACUAGUUAUCUCAAAUGAAAAUUAAAUGUGUGUACCACUCUGGUUGUUGGUAACAUAUUCCUAUCAUUACCCUACAUAUUAAUAGAACAUUUACCUUAGUUUGGGUUCUAUGGGUAAAGAGUUAGCACAAUAGAGAAGAGAGGGGUUUGUGGAGAAUGGCAGAAUGGUCAGUACUUUGUCUCACAUUUCUUAUAAAACUCAAUAUAAACAACAUGUCUACCCAGUAACAGCAGGUGACCUUAGCAGAUGGUGGGUGGAAGCAGCUGUGUUACUAAGGCAGAACCAUGACACUACAGUAUGUUCAGAAGACUAAAGGGAUCUUACUACUUUGGUCAUAGCAAGCUGUAACAAAGUGUGUUCUGUUUUUCACCCUCAGGAAAUGAUCACAGCAUCAGCCAAACAAGACCAACAAGAUGGUUCCCUGGAUUGGAGCUGCUUUCAUCAAGAAUGCAGCAGUCACAGUGAGUCUACUCCGCAGCCUCUGCAUAGCCUGCUGUAAUUUUCAGUCUGCUUGAGAUACCACUCUCUUGCAAACAUCAUUUUAUCUUUCUCAGGCAUGCGAAGACAGUAGGAUUUCUGCAUCCUCAAAAACUAAUCAUACAUGCCUCAGAGAAUUACUGUUGGAUCUAUUUUCCAUAGAUUUUGUGGUUAAAAAGGUGAUCGAUGGUUCUGUUUCCUCUCUGAGAGUCAAGUGAAUUUAUCAACCUGUGAUUGUUGCACUUACCUAAAACAAGGCACCAGUUCUGGGCGGAGUACCUGCCCAAUUCAUCGUCGGUGUAUUGCUCCUCUCUCAGUCUUUCGCCAUGGCUGCGCCUGCAGCUUUAAUGGUGGGUAUCAGCACUGAACAGCAGCUCUCCAAAGGAAAGUGUCUUCCCUGUGCAGAGAAAAGAGGCAGCUCUCUCGCCGGGCCUCGCCUACAGACGAUUUAUCUAACAGACUCCAUUUCCUGCAUGCCAUUUGCCAGUAUUUAUCUUGUGUGGGCUCCCAGAGAGGACUGCCGUAGAGGAGUGUCCUGUUAGAACCCAGACUCAUAUUUUUCCAUCUAAAUAAUGAAGAGGCCUCAGCUCUCUCGCUCUCUCUUUCGCCUUUGUUCCCUGUUCAGAAACAGGCCCGUAAUGCGAAUGCUACAUUUGUAGAAAACCUGAUACCCGUUUUUGCUUAUAUGGGGUCUCCCUUUGUAGACCAUGUCUUCGAAAAAUAAUCUGUUAAAUUAGAGGCAUGAGGCCCCUUCUCCCCUCCUCACCCCAUUCCCCUUCCUCCUUCCCUUAGUUCUCCUUUCUUCCGUUUUUCAUAGAUAUUUUAAAUUGUCCCAAGAAAAAUACUAUUUGUUUAGAGAGUCCGGAAGAGACAAUGCUCACCAUAGAUUUACUCCGACAGGUAUAUUGUAUUUUCUGUUACUGUGGUUUAAAUGAACAGUUAUUUAAGUAGCAAGAGAACACUGCCAUUAGGCAAGAUUCUUUUCUUAAAUCCAGUGGUUGCAAGCCAUUCAUUUUUACAUUUCCAUGUUAAAGAUGCUUCCCUAAGAGUGCAUUACCUUAAUAAUCAAUAACUCAGCAGGAGGUCCUAAUGGGGAGCCUUCACUGGAAGCCAGAUUUUACUUGAAGUUGCAAAGGACCACCAUAGGCCUGCCGGCUAUAAUUAAACAACCAUAAAACUAGGAGGUAAAGGGUGGCAGACUACAUUAGCAGUAAAAUGCUAACUUGCAAGUAAUAAGUCUGGACUCUUUCAUGUCUAUUGGAGUGUCUCUUACACUUGAACAAGGAAAAUGCUAUGUUAAAGAAGAAAUUUACAUUUAGGAUCCCUUAAGCUUAAGGACCAGGGAAGGUUGGUGUGGCGAAGAGAAAACAAAGGGUGCACAUUUGUACAACUGGGGAGCUUUCCCUCAUGGUCCACUCUCCUUUCCUCUCCUUCCUCUUCCACCAACCAGCUUUUCAUCCCCCUCUCUGAGAAGCGUCACAGAAUUUAAACACAGGAAACCAAUAUAAAAACGCUCUCAUGCAAAGAAACAGCAGGGCUGACUUUACAUCACUUCAAUUCAUGGCUGGCUAGCUUUACAUUUUCUGAUCAGUGGCUGCCACUGAGACCAGGAAGCCAGUUUCUUCAAGAGAAUCCAUGGACCCGUCAGAAGGCCUUGCGUUAUUGAUUUUCUGCUCAUAGAUUCCAGUUGCUCUGUCAAUCAUGGGCCAAAAAUACAAGAUGGCAGUCAAUAAGCAAGAGAACCGAGCUCCCAUGAAGACAACAAAAUAAUUCAGGAGAUCUGACAAAGAGAAAGUGCCAGUAUCCUCGAGAGAAAAGAAAUCAGAUAUGCUUUCCUGGAAAGAGAAGCUCAUGGCACCCACCCCCUACCCCCCACCGCCCAGACACACAUACUGUCUUUCCCAAUGAAGAGCAUGAACUCCAGGCUCAGUGAGAGAUCCUGCCUAAAAGAAGUAGUGAACAGAACCAAAGGUUGGUCACAAUUUCAACCGAGAAGGAAAUGGAGGAGAGCCAUAUUUAAUAAAGGGGAAAUGAAGGCAACUGGAAUACCAGAGGAAUGUUCAAAGCCUUUCCCACACUCUUGUCCAGUGUUGACUUCUUGGGAUGAGUUGGCAAUCAACACCACAUAGUGCAGAAGCCUGUGAAGGCCAGAAGAGGGGGUUGGAUCCCCUAGAUCAGGAUUUAUAGAUGGGCAGGAAGGAAUUGGAGAGCUGCUUCAGGAUGCCUUCCUCAGGUGAGGUGCCUUCCUCAGAUGCCAAACUUAACCCCCAGUACACCAGAAGUGGUUUAAUUUUAUUUUCACAAUACAAGUGGAAGCAUUUUGCUCUUUUCUUAGUGGUGGAGAAAUAACAAGGGGAUAGCAAUGGAAAAAAAUGUUUGGAUGAAAGAAACACCCAUAAAAACUGUGACUCCUCCAUCUGAAGACUGCUUUCAUAUCUGUGACUCAGAAGGGAAUUGUGGCUCUUAUAAUGCAAUGAAACAUGUGGACUUCUGCAACUAUGUAAAUAUGGUUGGAAGAAUAAGCAGCAGCGUUGGUGUAGGUUCCUGUUCUGUGGAAUACAUAGCACACUGACAGAAGAAAGUGGAGGAGGCAUUGCUCAGGCAUCAUCUGCUAAAGGACAGAUAUUGUCUUAUUUACCAGCAGCCACUGAUUUGUGAAAGGUCCUGUUGCCCUUCUCUGCUCCGAAGAAACAUGUAGAUGCUAUAUUUGUUAUAAAGCUGUUGUCAGGGAUGGAGAGAUGGCUCAGGGGUUAAGAGCACUGACUGUUCUUCCAGAGGUUCUGAGUUAAAUUCCCA
Cricetulus griseus (Chinese hamster) is the source of this 4359-nucleotide non-coding RNA. Lineage: Eukaryota; Metazoa; Chordata; Mammalia; Rodentia; Cricetidae. The record is from RefSeq and is a predicted model, not a curated record.